CCCGCCUCUUCCGGUGGCCGGGGCGCUGGCCCGCCCACGCGGCUCUUCCAGAAGUCAUUCCCGAGGUGCCUACAGCGGCCGAGUCAGGGCCUAGCCUUGCCCGGGAGGAGGGAGAUGGACCCCCUUCCUCGUUACCUGAUCAGGGCCGCGACCCUCAUGCUGGGUGCAGUGCGCGUGCGUGCGGCAGGCGCGGACGCCAGGCCCCGGCCCUGUAGCGGAUCCAGUGACGCGCGCGGGUCCUCGCCCGGGUGUCUGCUGCGCUGCCUGUCCGCGACCAUCCUACUGCCCCUUCAGCAUCUUGCUGAACAAACGGGCGUCCAGGGAUUUGUUUAUUGGUUCUCAGAGGAUUUUGGUGGAGCCGCUAGGUCUUUCCAGCUAUAAUGAUAUUUAAUGUCCCUGGUAAACCGAGGUCCGUGAAACUUGAAGAUCAGAAAAAUCACAGACCUACAGAAGCCGCCUUUAAAAUAGCUUGUAUUUUGCCAUCAGCAUCAACAUUACCAUUAACAACACUUGAGACUGAACUUUCAAGAAAGGGCUAUUAACAUAUUGAAAAGUGCCAAGUUUUUAAUCUAUCUAGCCUUACUUAACCUCAAAGGGGAGAAAACAAAAUAAAACUCUCUGUACUCUGAGGGUGUAAAAAAUGGAAAUGAAUAAAGGAACAAGAGGCAGUCCCCUCCCUAACUCCCGUGGCAUUCUGAGUGAAAUCUUUACAAGUUAGGAAAUGGCGCUAGAAGCCCCUUCUUCUGGAGAAGUGGAGUUUGCAGCAUUUAACAGAAUCUUUGGCUCCCACCGACUUGAGGCAGGUACUGCCAGGCCUAUCUAGGAGAAGUGAGAUGAAACGAGGAAACACCAACGGCUUUGUUUCGAGUCGCUCUUCCAAUUCCAAACUCCUGGGUGGAAAAAUAUAUUCAAAUUUGAGGGGACUUCUUAAGAAAAGAAAUGCUUUGUGGAGAUAUUAAAAAAAACUAAGAUCAAUAAGCUAUAAAAAUUUGAAGUCCGUGUAUAAGGUAGAUUUUAAUGUCACAAU
Microtus oregoni (creeping vole) is the source of this 1027-nucleotide long non-coding RNA. RefSeq lists it as uncharacterized. The transcript has 3 exons. The record is from RefSeq and is a predicted model, not a curated record. NCBI's taxonomy places the organism in Eukaryota, Metazoa, Chordata, Mammalia, Rodentia, Cricetidae.